UCACAGUAAUCCCUCCAAUGGCAAGAGA
This 28-nucleotide non-coding RNA is filed under the name Homo sapiens (human). Lineage: Eukaryota; Metazoa; Chordata; Mammalia; Primates; Hominidae. The record is from RNAcentral.